RNAcentral lists this ribosomal RNA (803 nucleotides) under uncultured bacterium. Its description in RNAcentral is "bacterial SSU rRNA". It matches the Rfam family "Bacterial small subunit ribosomal RNA", at positions 51 to 846 of the family's 1533-position model. The record is from RNAcentral.
ACACAUGCAAGUCGAGGGGCAGCAUGAUUGAAGCUUGCUUCAAUUGAUGGCGACCGGCGCACGGGUGAGUAACGCGUAUCCAACCUUCCGUACACUCAGGGAUAGCCUUUCGAAAGAAAGAUUAAUACCUGAUGGUAUGAUGAGAUUGCAUGAUAGCAUCAUUAAAGAUUUAUCGGUGUACGAUGGGGAUGCGUUCCAUUAGGUAGUAGGCGGGGUAACGGCCCACCUAGCCUACGAUGGAUAGGGGUUCUGAGAGGAAGGUCCCCCACAUUGGAACUGAGACACGGUCCAAACUCCUACGGGAGGCAGCAGUGAGGAAUAUUGGUCAAUGGACGAGAGUCUGAACCAGCCAAGUAGCGUGAAGGAUGAAGGUCUUACGGAUUGUAAACUUCUUUUAUAAGGGAAUAAAACCUCCCACGUGUGGGAGCUUGUAUGUACCUUAUGAAUAAGCAUCGGCUAACUCCGUGCCAGCAGCCGCGGUAAUACGGAGGAUGCGAGCGUUAUCCGGAUUUAUUGGGUUUAAAGGGAGCGCAGACGGGUCGUUAAGUCAGCUGUGAAAGUUUGGGGCUCAACCUUAAAAUUGCAAUUGAUACUGGCGUCCUUGAGUGCGGUUGAGGUGUGCGGAAUUCGUGGUGUAGCGGUGAAAUGCUUAGAUAUCACGAAGAACUCCGAUUGCGAAGGCAGCACACUAAGCCGUAACUGACGUUCAUGCUCGAAAGUGUGGGUAUCAAACAGGAUUAGAUACCCUGGUAGUCCACACGGUAAACGAUGGAUACUCGCUGUUGGCGAUAUACGGUCAGCGG